Molecule: ribosomal RNA, 497 nt
Filed under: uncultured bacterium
Lineage: Bacteria
Description: partial 16S ribosomal RNA
Rfam family: Bacterial small subunit ribosomal RNA
Source: RNAcentral
GAUGAACGCUGGCGGCGUGCCUAAUACAUGCAAGUCGAGCGAACAGACGAGGAGCUUGCUCCUCUGACGUUAGCGGCGGACGGGUGAGUAACACGUGGAUAACCUACCUAUAAGACUGGGAUAACUUCGGGAAACCGGAGCUAAUACCGGAUAAUAUAUUGAACCGCAUGGUUCAAUAGUGAAAGACGGUUUUGCUGUCACUUAUAGAUGGAUCCGCGCCGCAUUAGCUAGUUGGUAAGGUAACGGCUUACCAAGGCAACGAUGCGUAGCCGACCUGAGAGGGUGAUCGGCCACACUGGAACUGAGACACGGUCCAGACUCCUACGGGAGGCAGCAGUAGGGAAGCUUCCGCAAUGGUCGAGAGCUUGACGGAGGAACAGCGCGGAAGUAAUGAAAGUCUGCGGGUUGUAUACAGCUGUUAUUAGAGAAGAACAAAUGUGGAAUUAGCUGUUGACAUCUUGACGUUACCAAGUCAGAAUGCCACGCCUGACUUUAGU